RNAcentral lists this ribosomal RNA (484 nucleotides) under uncultured bacterium. RNAcentral describes it as "partial 16S ribosomal RNA". It matches the Rfam family "Bacterial small subunit ribosomal RNA", at positions 30 to 507 of the family's 1533-position model. The record is from RNAcentral.
AUUGAACGCUGGCGGCAGGCCUAACACAUGCGAGUCGAGCGGAUGAAGGGAGCUUGCUCCUGGAUUCAGCGGCGGACGGGUGAGUAAUGCCUAGGAAUCUGCCUGGUAGUGGGGGAUAACGUCCGGAAACGGGCGCUAAUACCGCAUACGUCAUGAGGGAGAAAGUGGGGGAUCUUCGGACCUCACGCUAUCAGAUGAGCCUAGGUCGGAUUAGCUAGUUGGUGGGGUAAAGGCCUACCAAGGCGACGAUCCGUAACUGGUCUGAGAGGAUGAUCAGUCACACUGGAACUGAGACACGGUCCAGACUCCUACGGGAGGCAGCAGUGGGGAAUAUUGGACAAUGGGCGAAAGCCUGAUCCAGCCAUGCCGCGUGUGUGAAGAAGGUCUUCGGAUUGUAAAGCACUUUUAGUUGGGAGGAAGGGCAGUAAGUUAAUACCUUGCUGUUUUGACGUUACCAACAGAAUAAGCACCGGCUAACUUCGUG